UGGUGGAGUGAUUUGUCUGGUUAAUUCCGAUAACGAACGAGACCUUAACCUGCUAAAUAGCAAUGCGAUAUUCAUAUCGUAGUAGGCUUCUUAGAGGGACUGCCAGUGUCUAACUGGCGGAAGUUUGAGGCAAUAACA
RNAcentral lists this ribosomal RNA (138 nucleotides) under uncultured eukaryote. Its description in RNAcentral is "partial 18S ribosomal RNA". It matches the Rfam family "Eukaryotic small subunit ribosomal RNA", at positions 1299 to 1458 of the family's 1831-position model. The record is from RNAcentral.